UACGUAGGGGGCAAGCGUUAUCCGGAAUUACUGGGUGUAAAGGGUGAGUAGGCGGCAUGGUAAGCCAGAUGUGAAAGCCUUGGGCUUAACCCGAGGAUUGCAUUUGGAACUAUCAAGCUAGAGUACAGGAGAGGAAAGCGGAAUUCCUAGUGCAGCGGUGAAAUGCGUAGAUAUUAGGAAGAACACCAGUGGCGAAGGCGGCUUUCUGGACUGAAACUGACGCUGAGGCACGAAAGCGUGGGGAGCGAACAGG
RNAcentral lists this ribosomal RNA (253 nucleotides) under uncultured bacterium. RNAcentral's name for it is "partial 16S ribosomal RNA". It matches the Rfam family "Bacterial small subunit ribosomal RNA", at positions 524 to 776 of the family's 1533-position model. The record is from RNAcentral.